Molecule: ribosomal RNA, 499 nt
Filed under: Hebius sp.
Lineage: Eukaryota; Metazoa; Chordata; Lepidosauria; Squamata; Natricidae
Description: partial large subunit ribosomal RNA
Rfam family: Bacterial large subunit ribosomal RNA
Source: RNAcentral
AACAAACAUUAAAGGCAACGCCUGCCCAGUGAAUAAUUAAACGGCCGCGGUACCCUAACCGUGCAAAGGUAGCAUAAUCACUUGUCUAUUAACUGUAGACCUGUAUGAAAGGCAAAAUGAGGGUUAAGCUGUCUCUUAUAAUAAAUCUAUUAAACUGAUCCCCUAGUAAAAAAGCUAGAAUAAAAACAUAAGACCAGAAGACCCUGUGAAGCUUAAACCAAACUAUUAAACCAAAUAAUAACUACUUUCGGUUGGGGCGACCUUGGAAAUAAAAAGAACUUCCAACACAAUGCUUACACAAAUACUCCAGGCCAACAAGCCAAAGAAUGACCCAGCAAAGCUGAUAAUUGAACAAAGUUACUCCAGGGAUAACAGCGCUAUCUUCUUCAAGAGCCCAUAUCAAAAAGAAGGUUUACGACCUCGAUGUUGGAUCAGGACAUCCUAAUGGUGCAACCGCUAUUAAAGGUUCGUUUGUUCAACGAUUAAUGUCCUACGUGAU